AUAGCUGAAUUUCAGUCUGAAAUUUGCACAAAAGUGAAUAUCCAAGUCUACAACUGGGCAUGCACACAAAUUAGGACUGCUUUGAUUUAUUGUAAAUGUCAAUCUGUCAAAACUUGACAGAAGGCAGAGCUACCACCAUCAAGUUUGAUCACUUCACUAGUGAAAGACGUGGGAAUAUGGUGAGAUAAUAUCUAUGAAUGCUCAUGUAUUUUCGGAACCAC
Non-coding RNA from Pelobates cultripes (western spadefoot toad), 221 nucleotides. The record is from the annotation of a GenBank genome assembly. NCBI's taxonomy places the organism in Eukaryota, Metazoa, Chordata, Amphibia, Anura, Pelobatidae.